RNAcentral lists this ribosomal RNA (253 nucleotides) under uncultured bacterium. RNAcentral's name for it is "partial 16S ribosomal RNA". It matches the Rfam family "Bacterial small subunit ribosomal RNA", at positions 524 to 776 of the family's 1533-position model. The record is from RNAcentral.
GACAGAGGAGCCAAGCGUUGUCCGGAUUGACUGGGCGUAAAGCGCACGCAGGCGGAUGCGCGCGUGGGGUGUGAAGUCUGGCCGCUUAACGGCCAGGCGCCAUCCCAUACGGCGCGUCUGGAGUGAUGCAGAGGUCGAUGGAAUUGCCGGUGUAGUGGUGAAAUGCGUAGAGAUCGGCAGGAACACCCAGGGGGAAACCAGUCGACUGGGCAUCUACUGACGCUGAGGUGUGAGAGCGUGGGGAGCGAACCGG